This 57-nucleotide transfer RNA is filed under the name Neotoma lepida (desert woodrat). It matches the Rfam family "tRNA", at positions 9 to 63 of the family's 71-position model. From Rfam's summary of the family: Transfer RNA (tRNA) molecules are approximately 80 nucleotides in length. Their secondary structure includes four short double-helical elements and three loops (D, anti-codon, and T loops). Further hydrogen bonds mediate the characteristic L-shaped molecular structure. tRNAs have two regions of fundamental functional importance: the anti-codon, which is responsible for specific mRNA codon recognition, and the 3' end, to which the tRNAs corresponding amino acid is attached (by aminoacyl-tRNA synthetases). tRNAs cope with the degeneracy of the genetic code in two manners: having more than one tRNA (with a specific anti-codon) for a particular amino acid; and 'wobble' base-pairing, i.e. permitting non-standard base-pairing at the 3rd anti-codon position. Lineage: Eukaryota; Metazoa; Chordata; Mammalia; Rodentia; Cricetidae. The record is from Rfam by way of RNAcentral.
AGCUCAGUUGGUAGAGUGCUUGUCUAUCAUGCAUGAAGCUCUGGGUUCAAUCCCCAG